CUUCCAGACCAAUGUGGCCUCUUGCAAUUUGCAGGGCGGCAAUGAGUGCCAGGACCAGGUUUACUCGGUAGAAAGAGAUGCGUUCCAAGCAGAACAUUGCCCAUCCAGAUCGCUAAAAGCAAAAGAUAAUCUUUCAGAAGAAACAACACCGCUUGGAACAAUUAAAGACGUACUUGGCUCUAUAUCAAGAGCGCGAGGAAAUAAAUCGAAAUCGGAACUUAUGUACAACGUGGGAGAGAUAAGCCUGUCCCACUCAAAAAGUUCGACCUCGACACAAGUACAGUCAAUCUGGUGAAGAUCGAACAGUCUCCAUAGCGGUAAAGCAGAUUCGUCGAUUAAAUAAAACAAGGCAUGGGCUCUACAAACUAACGUCUAUGUUUCAUCUACUCCUAAAGAUAGCACCAACAUUUUUUUGGCACUUCUUUCAGUAUGGAAUAUAUUGAUAGGGGUUUCCACUCCAUUUCCCUCUCGACUGAACUUACCCUUUCUUUGUUUACCUUGACAAGCAAUCUCUUCUUACCUUGACAUCAAAAUUAAGAAAGCCGAAUAGUAGUGCGAUCUAGAAUAUAAUGAAAAACUGUGCGUCGCGCACAGGGUCGGGAACCAUGAAGUUUCCUGGAGAAUUAAUGAUUAAUAAUUAAGUUUUAAUAUUUUUUAGUCUGCCAAAGAAAUAUGAAUUUAAAAGACCAUUAGUAUGAACUAUUUAUAUAACAAAAGCCGGCUUAAAUCCAAGCAUUGAAAAGUCCCCGAUAUGUAAGGUUGGUCAGUUAAUGCUGAUAGUACUGGACGCGGGCCCGGCCAUGUUAGCGUCUGUUUAUCCUAGUGAAAUAAAGCAAGAUUUUAGGGUACAAUUGGUUAAGUGAAUUUGUAUCAUCUUCAAAAACCCGAAGAGUUUUUCUUACAAAGAAUUCCCACGUCUAACUAUAUUGGUAUUAAUAUGUAAACUGAUUUGACGCUCUACUACGAGGCCUAUGAAUGUCUGAAAGAUAAAAUGAAAUGCAAUGAUGCACAACAUUUUGCGUACUUGGGCUUUACAUUGGCUUCAUUUGAAGAUUGUAGUAAUGCAACAAUAUCUUAUUACAACUUGAAUUUCCUUUUAUCUCUGUCUAUGAAUACUUGAUACGAUCAUGCUUUAUAUACUAUAAUAAUUACAAAAAAAAAAUGAUGUAAUUGACGACUUCUCAACGGUAACUAUAAAAGAUGAUGUAAAUUUCAUUCAGUUUGUCAGUUAAGCUGCAGACGCGAGGGUCAACCAUAAGACGUGUAAAACUCAAUUGGAAUAUUUGUGUGCACCCAUUAUAGUUGGGAUUUUUUAGAUCAGCAGUUAUUGCUAUACAGCCGUAUUAAUAAAUCUUCUACUGGCCUACUAAGUCCCAACAUAAUGAGAGUAAAAACCACUGGCUUAACAAUAAGACUAUGUUAAAAUGAGUGAAGUGCAAUUAGAUAUAUGUAUGUAUGUAUUUAUGUAUAAAGCGCGUUCUUGCUCCCAACUGGUCCCAUUGACCGAGUCCCGAGUCGAUGUAACCAUGGCUGUCUGUCUAUUAGCAGCAGAAAUAACAGGAGGAGCACCCAAAAACCCAAGGAGAGAUACUCCGGCAAAAUGGAAGCACUAAGGCCAAGCCAUUUGCCAAACAGAGCUGCUGCAGUUUUUAAGGGUUUCCAAAGAGUAAAGUUUAUUCUAAAUUUUUUUGAGUCGACAC
This 1700-nucleotide small RNA is filed under the name Drosophila pseudoobscura pseudoobscura. RNAcentral describes it as "GA31873". The stretch from base 1294 to 1385 matches the Rfam family "mir-193 microRNA precursor family". Lineage: Eukaryota; Metazoa; Arthropoda; Insecta; Diptera; Drosophilidae. The record is from RNAcentral.